AUUGAACGCUGGCGGCGUGCCUAACACAUGCAAGUCGAGCGGCAGCGUGGGAGCAAUCCUGGCGGCGAGCGGCGGACGGGUGAGUAACGCUUGGGAAUCUGCCUAUUAGUGGGGGACAACCCGGGGAAACUCGGGCUAAUACCGCAUACGCACUACGGUGGAAAGCCGGGGACCGCAAGGCCUGGCGCUAACAGAUGAGCCCAAGUCGGAUUAGCUAGUUGGUAGGGUAACGGCCUACCAAGGCGACGAUCCGUAACUGGUCUGAGAGGACGACCAGUCACACCGGAACUGAGACACGGUCCGGACUCCUACGGGAGGCAGCAGUGGGGAAUAUUGGACAAUGGGGGAAACCCUGAUCCAGCGACGCCGCGUGGGUGAAGAAGGCCUGCGGGUUGUAAAGCCCUUUCAGUGGGGAAGAAAGCUCGACCUAAUACGUCGGGGUCUUGACGUAACCCCAUAGAAGAAGCACCGGCUAACUCUGUGCCAG
This 487-nucleotide ribosomal RNA is filed under the name uncultured bacterium. RNAcentral's name for it is "bacterial SSU rRNA". It matches the Rfam family "Bacterial small subunit ribosomal RNA", at positions 29 to 511 of the family's 1533-position model. The record is from RNAcentral.